AUAUAUAUUAAAAAAAUAUAUUAAAGUUGAUUUUAAAUGUAUUAUUUUUUUUGUGUUUUACAAUUUUCUAUAAUUUUAAACC
Molecule: small RNA, 82 nt
Filed under: Arabidopsis thaliana (thale cress)
Lineage: Eukaryota; Viridiplantae; Streptophyta; Magnoliopsida; Brassicales; Brassicaceae
Description: ATSL183190
Source: RNAcentral